AUGGGCGAAAGCCUGAUGCAGCGACGCCGCGUGAGUGAGGAAGUAUUUCGGUAUGUAAAGCUCUAUCAGCAGGGAAGAAAGAAAUGACGGUACCUGAGUAAGAAGCUCCGGCUAAAUACGUGCCAGCAGCCGCGGUAAUACGUAUGGAGCAAGCGUUAUCCGGAUUUACUGGGUGUAAAGGGAGCGUAGGCGGCAGAGCAAGUCUGAUGUGAAAGCCCGGGGCUCAACCCCGGUAGUGCAUUGGAAACUGUUCGGCUGGAGUGUCGGAGGGGUAAGCGGAAUUCCUGGUGUAGCGGUGAAAUGCGUAGAUAUCAGGAAGAACACCGGAGGCGAAGGCGGCUUACUGGACGAUUACUGACGCUGAGGCUCGAAAGCGUGGGGAGCGAACAGGAUUAGAUACCCUGGUAGUCCACGCUGUAAACGAUGAAUACUAGGUGUCGGUACCCGAAGGGUAUCGGUGCCGUCGCAAACGCAUUAAGUAUUCCACCUGGGGAGUACGUUCGCAAGAAUGAAACUCAAAGGAAUUGACGGGGACCCGCACAAGCGGUGGAGCAUGUGGUAUAAUUCGAAGCAACGCGAAGAACCUUACCAAGUUCUUGACAUCCCGAUGACAAGCGAUGUAAUGUCGUCUCUCUUCGGAGCAUCGGAGACAGGUGGUGCAUGGUUGUCGUCAGCUCGUGUCGUGAGAUGUUGGG
This 695-nucleotide ribosomal RNA is filed under the name Shuttleworthella satelles. RNAcentral describes it as "bacterial SSU rRNA". It matches the Rfam family "Bacterial small subunit ribosomal RNA", at positions 371 to 1079 of the family's 1533-position model. Lineage: Bacteria; Bacillati; Bacillota; Clostridia; Lachnospirales; Lachnospiraceae. The record is from RNAcentral.